Molecule: long non-coding RNA, 1022 nt
Filed under: Elaeis guineensis (African oil palm)
Lineage: Eukaryota; Viridiplantae; Streptophyta; Magnoliopsida; Arecales; Arecaceae
Description: long non-coding RNA (EGUI_LNC063736)
Source: RNAcentral
CUUCUCAAACACUUAUAUCAGAAAUAUUCAUGUGCACAUAUGGCCAAAAGCACAUAAAGGAUCAUCUACAUAAUUCUUUUUUAAUCCUUAAUUCACCUAUAAUACCACCUACAAAAUUUACAAAGCAAGUAUGCUACUAAGAUUACCAAUUCCUUAGCUUAAUUUAACUGAAUGCACUUCGUUAGAAAGAGAGCAUUUGUACGGAAAAUGCAAGUAAAUGAACUGCAUAAGUUGCUUAAAGAGAAGUUCAAAAUACUUGCUUAAUGUUUGAAAACAAAUAGCAUAAAUUUGUUCUCCAGGCCCAACUGAUAUGACAGCAAAUACCAACAACGACAACAAUAUUAAGGAAUUUUAUAAAUAUGUAUCGGUGCUAUAGAUUAUACAUUCAUGAAGGCAAUAGCGUAAGUCUUCUAUAGGUGAUGGCAAUACUCAAACUAAUCUUAUGCCUAAUCACUGAGGGCCACAUCAACUUGAAGGAUAUACUACUUGUGACUCUUUAUGAGAAAAGUAAAUGAGAGCAUGAAUAUAAAUCUUACAAUGUCAAAAAUUCCUCUCCAUGGAAUUACAUGGAUAUGCUAGUCGCCUGAAGGCCCAAUAUUUCUUUUCACAGCACCUCUUCAUGUCUAAAUAUUACCAUCUCGAUCAAUUAAUAACUAGUGCCAACAAGGGAAAGAUCCAAAACACAGGUACAUUCCUACUUAUUUUUCUUUAUCUUGCCGCCAUUUCUAAUGGCGAUGUCCCCCUAAUCUUGAACGCUUAUUUUUCUUUAUCUUGCCGCCAUUUCUAAUGGCGAUGUCCCCCUAAUCUUGAACGAAGCAUUAAACACAUUAAAAAAGAAAAAUAAUUAAAGGAUUAGGAGACAGGAAUUAAGCCUACACGAGCUUACUUUAUCUUGCCGCCAUUUCUAAUGGCGAUGGCAUUAAACACAUUAAAAAAAGAAAAAAUAAUUAAAGGAUUAGGAGACAGGAAUUAAGCCUACACGAGCGGAUAACAGAAUAUGAAAGAGGAAGGGCAAGUUUCGC